Molecule: ribosomal RNA, 449 nt
Filed under: uncultured bacterium
Lineage: Bacteria
Description: partial 16S ribosomal RNA
Rfam family: Bacterial small subunit ribosomal RNA
Source: RNAcentral
AGCGAACGCUGGCGGCAGGCCUAACACAUGCAAGUCGAACGAAGUCUUCGGACUUAGUGGCGGACGGGUGAGUAACACGUGGGAACGUACCUUUUGGUUCGGAACAACUCAGGGAAACUUGAGCUAAUACCGGAUGAGCCCUUAGGGGGAAAGAUUUAUCGCCGAAAGAGCGGCCCGCGUUAGAUUAGCUAGUUGGUGAGGUAAAGGCUCACCAAGGCUACGAUCUAUAGCUGGUCUGAGAGGAUGAUCAGCCACACUGGGACUGAGACACGGCCCAGACUCCUACGGGAGGCAGCAGUGGGGAAUCUUGCGCAAUGGGCGAAAGCCGGACGCAGCCAUGCCGCGUGAAUGAUGAAGGUCUUAGGAUCGUAAAAUUCUUUUACCAGGGACGAUAAUGACGGUACCUGGAGAAAAAGCCCCGGCUAACUUCGUGCCAGCCGCCGCAGUAA